UGCAGAAACCACAAGAGACCGCGC
RNAcentral lists this non-coding RNA (24 nucleotides) under Mus musculus (house mouse). The record is from RNAcentral. Lineage: Eukaryota; Metazoa; Chordata; Mammalia; Rodentia; Muridae.